This 497-nucleotide ribosomal RNA is filed under the name uncultured bacterium. Its description in RNAcentral is "partial 16S ribosomal RNA". It matches the Rfam family "Bacterial small subunit ribosomal RNA", at positions 28 to 507 of the family's 1533-position model. The record is from RNAcentral.
GAUGAACGCUGGCGGCGUGCCUAAUACAUGCAAGUCGAGCGAACGGACGAGAAGCUUGCUUCUCUGAUGUUAGCGGCGGACGGGUGAGUAACACGUGGAUAACCUACCUAUAAGACUGGGAUAACUUCGGGAAACCGGAGCUAAUACCGGAUAAUAUUUUGAACCGCAUGGUUCAAAAGUGAAAGACGGUCUUGCUGUCACUUAUAGAUGGAUCCGCGCUGCAUUAGCUAGUUGGUAAGGUAACGGCUUACCAAGGCAACGAUGCAUAGCCGACCUGAGAGGGUGAUCGGCCACACUGGAACUGAGACACGGUCCAGACUCCUACGGGAGGCAGCAGUAGGGAAUCUUCCGCAAUGGGCGAAAGCCUGACGGAGCAACGCCGCGUGAGUGAUGAAGGUCUUCGGAUCGUAAAACUCUGUUAUUAGGGAAGAACAUAUGUGUAAGUAACUGUGCACAUCUUGACGGUACCCAAUCAGAAAGCCACGGCUAACUACGUG